This 367-nucleotide long non-coding RNA is filed under the name Aphidius gifuensis. RNAcentral describes it as "uncharacterized LOC122857081, transcript variant X2". The record is from RNAcentral. Lineage: Eukaryota; Metazoa; Arthropoda; Insecta; Hymenoptera; Braconidae.
CGAGCUUCUGUUGGACGUUUUGGUGCUUGUGGCAUUCUCUCAGGUUCUGGUUUUGGUGCUUUUAAAUCUUGAAGUGCUUUUUUCUAAAAAUAUAAAUAAAGAAUUUAAUUGACAUGUGGAAUGCCCAAAUAGGCAAGACGUUUCAAACGUAUAUCAUCAGGAUCAGGUGUUGAUUGUGCAUUAGCACAUUCCAAGCUCAUUUGUAAUGCUCUUCUUAAUUCAUCAUCAUCAUUAUUAUCAUCUUGAACAUCAUACAUCAUUUUAGUUGCAGAUAUAUGCUUGCAUUAAUGAUGGAUCUUUUUGGGCAAUAAGUGCUGUUGGUUCAGUACUACUAUAUGGAAUUAAUUCAAGACCCAAUACUUUUAAG